AUUGAACGCUGGCGGCAGGCCUAACACAUGCAAGUCGAACGAGUGGCGGACGGGUGAGUAAUGUCUGGGAAUCUGCCUGAUGGAGGGGGAUAACUACUGGAAACGGUAGCUAAUACCGCAUACCAUCGGAUGUGCCCAGAUGGGAUUAGCUAGUCGGUGGGGUAACGGCUCACCUAGGCGACGAUCCCUAGCUGGUCUGAGAGGAUGACCAGGCACACUGGAACUGAGACACGGCCCAGACUCCUACGGGAGGCAGCAGUGGGGAAUAUUGCACAAUGGGCGCAAGCCUGAUGCAGCCAUGCCGCGGGGAUGAAGAAGGCCUUCGGGUUGUAAAGUACUUUCAGCGGUGAGGCGUUACCAGCAGAAGAAGCACCGGCUAACUCCGUGCCAGCAGCCGCGGUAAUUC
Molecule: ribosomal RNA, 406 nt
Filed under: uncultured bacterium
Lineage: Bacteria
Description: partial 16S ribosomal RNA
Rfam family: Bacterial small subunit ribosomal RNA
Source: RNAcentral